Long non-coding RNA from Bos taurus (domestic cattle), 798 nucleotides. The record is from Ensembl. Lineage: Eukaryota; Metazoa; Chordata; Mammalia; Artiodactyla; Bovidae.
AGAGAGAAGAAAAGCAUUGAAAGGCAAAGCUCAGCAAAGCAUUUCACUUUCAGCUCUAAUUUCAGAAGCCCAGAGUCCACCGCUCCAGCGUGAGUGGGAAGCAGUGUCCUGGGCUGGGGGCGUGUGACUGGCAUUUGGGAAGGGAGAGCCUUAAUACUGUCUCAGAAGGCACUCGGCUUUCAGUGGAGGUAAAGGGAGGCCUGGCAUGCUGCAGUCCAUGGGGUCGCAAAGAGCUGGACAUGACUGGGGGACUGAACAACACCAUCACCGUGGCGUAUCAUGGAAAACGAGGCACAGCCACGCGGGGCAGAAGUGCCCUGGGAUCUUACCACCCGGCCCUGCUACCAUCGACCUCAGAUCAGAACUAUGGCCUCAGUUUCCUCACCUGUAAAGGGAGGGGACAUGAUGCAAUUCCUUCUCACCUUUUCCUCCAGGAGAAGAGGACACAGACACCUGCCCACGAACUAGCCCAGCCCCACAGGGGAUGCUGUGUGGUUUUCAACAAGAGAGGCAGGCGAAACGGUGAACAAUGAUUGAAUCAAAGCCGCCCUCAGCAGCCUCCCCCAACUCCACCCCAUCUGAGAACAGCCCUGUUUCAAUUUCACCACUGAGUUCAGCCUGCCUGCUCCAGACGUCCAGACCUCGCACUCUAUAAAUCGUCUCUGCCCUUGCCCUGGAGUUGCUGACUAUAUGUAUUUUUGGGCCCAGCAUUAAUUCCCUCAUCCUUGGCUGGUGACAUUAAGAUUUGUAACUGAUAGAAUGUGUUUUUAAUGUAUUUCCUGCAGGUUACUAUUAAAG